UACGUAGGAGACGAGCGUUGUCCGGAGUUACUGGGCGUAAAGGGUGCGCAGGUGGCGGCGCGCGUGGGGGGUGAAAUCGCCCGGCUUAACUGGGCGGGGGCCUUCCAGACGGCGUGGCUUGAGCAGCGGAGGGGGACGUGGAAUUCCGGGUGGAGCGGUGAAAUGCGUAGAUAUCGGAAGGAACAUCGGUGGCGAAAGCGGCGCGCUGGACCUCUACUGACGCUGAGGCGCGAAAGCCAGGGGAGCAAACGGG
RNAcentral lists this ribosomal RNA (253 nucleotides) under uncultured bacterium. Its description in RNAcentral is "partial 16S ribosomal RNA". It matches the Rfam family "Bacterial small subunit ribosomal RNA", at positions 524 to 776 of the family's 1533-position model. The record is from RNAcentral.